CAAGUUUGAUCAUGGCUCAGGACGAACGCUGGCGGCGUGCCUAACACAUGCAAGUCGAGCGGAGACAGUGAGUAGCUUGCUAUGAGCUGUUUUAGCGUCGGACGGGUGAGUAACGCGUGAGCAACCUUUCCCAGACAGGGGAAUAACACACCGAAAGGUGUACUAAUACCGCAUAAGACCACGGGAUCACAUGGUUCUGGGGUAAAAGAUUUAUCGGUUUGGGGUGGGCUCGCGUCCGAUUAGGUAGUUGGUGAGGUAACGG
Molecule: ribosomal RNA, 262 nt
Filed under: uncultured bacterium
Lineage: Bacteria
Description: partial 16S ribosomal RNA
Rfam family: Bacterial small subunit ribosomal RNA
Source: RNAcentral